AUUGAACGCUGGCGGCAUGCUUUACACAUGCAAGUCGAACGGUAACAGGCCGCAAGGUGCUGACGAGUGGCGAACGGGUGAGUAAUGCAUCGGAACGUGCCCAGUCGUGGGGGAUAACGCAGCGAAAGCUGUGCUAAUACCGCAUACGAUCUAUGGAUGAAAGCGGGGGACCGUAAGGCCUCGCGCUACUGGAGCGGCCGAUAUCAGAUUAGGUAGUUGGUGGGGUAAAGGCCUACCAAGCCGACGAUCUGUAGCUGGUCUGAGAGGACGACCAGCCACACUGGGACUGAGACACGGCCCAGACUCCUACGGGAGGCAGCAGUGGGGAAUUUUGGACAAUGGACGCAAGUCUGAUCCAGCCAUUCCGCGUGCAGGAUGAAGGCCCUCGGGUUGUAAACUGCUUUUGUACGGAACGAAAAGGUUUCUAUUAAUACUAGGAGCUCAUGACGGUACCGUAAGAAUAAGCACCGGCUAACUACGUGCCAGCAGCCG
Molecule: ribosomal RNA, 492 nt
Filed under: uncultured bacterium
Lineage: Bacteria
Description: bacterial SSU rRNA
Rfam family: Bacterial small subunit ribosomal RNA
Source: RNAcentral